Molecule: ribosomal RNA, 276 nt
Filed under: uncultured bacterium
Lineage: Bacteria
Description: partial 16S ribosomal RNA
Rfam family: Bacterial small subunit ribosomal RNA
Source: RNAcentral
CAAACUGGAGAUGGCGACCGGCGCACGGGUGAGUAACACGUAUCCAACCUGCCGAUAACUCGGGGAUAGCCUUUCGAAAGAAAGAUUAAUACCCGAUGGCAUAGUUCUUCCGCAUGGUAGAACUAUUAAAGAAUUUCGGUCAUCGAUGGGGAUGCGUUCCAUUAGAUAGUAGGCGGGGUAACGGCCCACCUAGUCUUCGAUGGGUAGGGGUUCUGAGAGGAAGGUCCCCCACAUUGGAACUGAGACACGGUCCAAACUCCUACGGGAGGCAGCAUG